Pelobates cultripes (western spadefoot toad) is the source of this 207-nucleotide non-coding RNA. The record is from the annotation of a GenBank genome assembly. Lineage: Eukaryota; Metazoa; Chordata; Amphibia; Anura; Pelobatidae.
AAAUGCUCUGUUACAAUUUCCUUUUCUCACUCUACCAGUUACUAACGGCCAUCAUUAUGUCCUUUGCACUGCAGAUGAACGAUGAUUUAGAUGGAGGUCCCAGGACAAGAGCCGAUGGAAAACCAGUCAGGAAGCAUGAACCAUUCAAGAGGAAACAUCGAUAAGUGUCUACUGACUCUUACUUCUUCAUUAUCUAGUGUUUAACGG